Molecule: non-coding RNA, 373 nt
Organism: Chiloscyllium plagiosum (whitespotted bambooshark)
Lineage: Eukaryota; Metazoa; Chordata; Chondrichthyes; Orectolobiformes; Hemiscylliidae
Source: RefSeq, a predicted model, not a curated record
GGAAGUUAGAGUCGAUGCCUUCUGAUGCGGUGAAAAUAUCCUGAAUCUUGGACCGAGAGGCCAGAGAUUAAUUCACAACUUGUGCAGGUACCAGUGAUCAAUGCCAAAGCCCUGGUGCCUGUGGAGAGGGUAAUAUUUGACUACUUGUACUGCUGCAGUUUGUAUGGUAAAGGCGCUCCCACAACGUGGUUUGAUACCACUGAUUAAUGCCAAAACCCUAUUGCUUGUGGAGAGGGUAAUGUUUGACUUUCUUGUACAGCUGCAGUUUGUGUGGUGAAGGUGCUCCUACAAUGUGGUUGGAUUCCACCAUCUGCCAAGAUGGGAUUCGAACCAAGACUUCAGUCAUUUGUUUUAAUAUUCUGGAUAAAAACUA